RNAcentral lists this ribosomal RNA (102 nucleotides) under Triticum aestivum (bread wheat). Its description in RNAcentral is "partial small subunit ribosomal RNA". The record is from RNAcentral. Lineage: Eukaryota; Viridiplantae; Streptophyta; Magnoliopsida; Poales; Poaceae.
AUGGCCCACAUAUCAGAUAUUAAACUGAUAAGAACAGAUACUACACUUGAUCUUAGCCAAAAGGCCGAGAAAGAUAUGAGUUGUCCUGCUGCCCUCCACUAG